GAUGAACGCUGGCGGCGUGCCUAAUACAUGCAAGUCGAGCGAACGGACGAGAAGCUUGCUUCUCUGAUGUUAGCGGCGGACGGGUGAGUAACACGUGGAUAACCUACCUAUCAGACUGGGAUAAAUUCGGGAAACCGGAGCUAAUACCGGAUAAUAUUUUGAACCGCAUGGUUCAAAAGUGAAAGACGGUCUUGCUGUCACUUAUAGAUGGAUCCGCGCUGCAUUAGCUAGUUGGUAAGGUAACGGCUUACCAAGGCAACGAUGCAUAGCCGACCUGUGAGGGUGAUCGGCCACACGGGAGCUGAGCCACGGUCCAGACUACUACGGGAGGCAGCAGUAGGGAAUCGUCCGCAAUGGGCGAAAGCCUGACGGAGCAACGCCGCGCGAGAGAUGACGGUCUUGGGAUCGUAAAACUCUGUUAUUAGGUAAGAACAUAUGUGUAAGUAACUGUGCACAGCGUGACGGUAACUAGUCAGAAAGCCACGGCUAACUACGUG
This 497-nucleotide ribosomal RNA is filed under the name uncultured bacterium. Its description in RNAcentral is "partial 16S ribosomal RNA". It matches the Rfam family "Bacterial small subunit ribosomal RNA", at positions 28 to 507 of the family's 1533-position model. The record is from RNAcentral.